Molecule: long non-coding RNA, 492 nt
Filed under: Musa acuminata (dwarf banana)
Lineage: Eukaryota; Viridiplantae; Streptophyta; Magnoliopsida; Zingiberales; Musaceae
Description: long non-coding RNA (MACU_LNC006874)
Source: RNAcentral
GUCGAAAGAACAUCUUGUCGGAAAGAAGAUAACGAAGGAGCAACUUGAGAGGUAAGGUCAGGGGGCCUCGCCGUCGAGUCUAUCCUCUCGCCACCGUCGCCAACCCCAUGGACCAUUAUUGCCAUGUCUCUGCAGCGUUGGGAGGGCUGCACACUCUAUUAGAAGGGGAAGAAGGAGAGUAGAGAGGCUGCAUGCAGUUGCUGCCCCCUAAAGAAACUCUUCUCUGUUCCACCGAGCAGAAUAGGAGGAGAACAACGUGCAGUUUCCUUCUCUUCUAUUCCCGCUGGCAGAGAGGCGAGAAGAGGAAGAAGAGAUCCCGUUCCUUCCUAUCUCAUUCGCCUGAAGAAAAAAUAGAAGGGAGAAGCCUCUUUUCCUCUGUUCGACGGAGAGCAAAGGGCUGCAGAAACAAACUUCUUGAGUUUGUUUACUUUUUCUGUUACAAUCUCUAUUCCUAUAGCAAUCUCUGUUCCCGCUGGUAGAGAGGCGAGAACA